CGUUAAGUUGCAGGGUAUAGACCCGAAACCCGGUGAUCUAGCCAUGGGCAGGUUGAAGGUUGGGUAACACUAACUGGAGGACCGAACCGACUAAUGUUGAAAAAUUAGCGGAUGACUUGUGGCUGGGGGUGAAAGGCCAAUCAAACCGGGAGAUAGCUGGUUCUCCCCGAAAGCUAUUUAGGUAGCGCCUCGUGAAUUCAUCUCCGGGGGUAGAGCACUGUUUCGGCAAGGGGGUCAUCCCGACUUACCAACCCGAUGCAAACUGCGAAUACCGGAGAAUGUUAUCACGGGAGACACACGGCGGGUGCUAACGUCCGUCGUGAAGAGGGAAACAACCCAGACCGCCAGCUAAGGUCCCAAAGUCAUGGUUAAGUGGGAAACGAUGUGGGAAGGCCCAGACAGCCAGGAUGUUGGCUUAGAAGCAGCCAUCAUUUAAAGAAAGCGUAAUAGCUCACUGGUCGAGUCGGCCUGCGCGGAAGAUGUAACGGGGCUAAACCAUGCAC
RNAcentral lists this ribosomal RNA (503 nucleotides) under Escherichia coli. RNAcentral's name for it is "partial 23S ribosomal RNA". It matches the Rfam family "Bacterial large subunit ribosomal RNA", at positions 693 to 1194 of the family's 2925-position model. The record is from RNAcentral. Lineage: Bacteria; Pseudomonadati; Pseudomonadota; Gammaproteobacteria; Enterobacterales; Enterobacteriaceae.